RNAcentral lists this ribosomal RNA (274 nucleotides) under uncultured bacterium. RNAcentral's name for it is "partial 16S ribosomal RNA". It matches the Rfam family "Bacterial small subunit ribosomal RNA", at positions 523 to 796 of the family's 1533-position model. The record is from RNAcentral.
AUACGUAGGGUGCGAGCGUUAAUCGGAAUUACUGGGCGUAAAGCGUGCGCAGGUGGUUUUGUAAGUCAGAUGUGAAAUCCCCGGGCUUAACCUGGGAACUGCGUUUGAAACUGCAAGGCUAGAGUGUGGCAGAGGGGGGUGGAAUUCCGCGUGUAGCAGUGAAAUGCGUAGAGAUGUGGAGGAACACCGAUGGCGAAGGCAGCCCCCUGGGUCAACACUGACGCUCAGGCACGAAAGCAUGGGGAGCAAACAGGAUUAGAAACCCUAGUAGUCC